This 1306-nucleotide ribosomal RNA is filed under the name Arthrobacter sp. RNAcentral's name for it is "bacterial SSU rRNA". It matches the Rfam family "Bacterial small subunit ribosomal RNA", at positions 89 to 1405 of the family's 1533-position model. The record is from RNAcentral. Lineage: Bacteria; Bacillati; Actinomycetota; Actinomycetes; Micrococcales; Micrococcaceae.
GGAUUAGUGGCGAACGGGUGAGUAACACGUGAGUAACCUGCCCUUAACUCUGGGAUAAGCCUGGGAAACUGGGUCUAAUACCGGAUAUGACUCCUCAUCGCAUGGUGGGGGGUGGAAAGCUUUAUUGUGGUUUUGGAUGGACUCGCGGCCUAUCAGCUUGUUGGUGAGGUAAUGGCUCACCAAGGCGACGACGGGUAGCCGGCCUGAGAGGGUGACCGGCCACACUGGGACUGAGACACGGCCCAGACUCCUACGGGAGGCAGCAGUGGGGAAUAUUGCACAAUGGGCGAAAGCCUGAUGCAGCGACGCCGCGUGAGGGAUGACGGCCUUCGGGUUGUAAACCUCUUUCAGUAGGGAAGAAGCGAAAGUGACGGUACCUGCAGAAGAAGCGCCGGCUAACUACGUGCCAGCAGCCGCGGUAAUACGUAGGGCGCAAGCGUUAUCCGGAAUUAUUGGGCGUAAAGAGCUCGUAGGCGGUUUGUCGCGUCUGCCGUGAAAGUCCGGGGCUCAACUCCGGAUCUGCGGUGGGUACGGGCAGACUAGAGUGAUGUAGGGGAGACUGGAAUUCCUGGUGUAGCGGUGAAAUGCGCAGAUAUCAGGAGGAACACCGAUGGCGAAGGCAGGUCUCUGGGCAUUAACUGACGCUGAGGAGCGAAAGCAUGGGGAGCGAACAGGAUUAGAUACCCUGGUAGUCCAUGCCGUAAACGUUGGGCACUAGGUGUGGGGGACAUUCCACGUUUUCCGCGCCGUAGCUAACGCAUUAAGUGCCCCGCCUGGGGAGUACGGCCGCAAGGCUAAAACUCAAAGGAAUUGACGGGGGCCCGCACAAGCGGCGGAGCAUGCGGAUUAAUUCGAUGCAACGCGAAGAACCUUACCAAGGCUUGACAUGAACCGGAAAUACCUGGAAACAGGUGCCCCGCUUGCGGUCGGUUUACAGGUGGUGCAUGGUUGUCGUCAGCUCGUGUCGUGAGAUGUUGGGUUAAGUCCCGCAACGAGCGCAACCCUCGUUCUAUGUUGCCAGCGCGUUAUGGCGGGGACUCAUAGGAGACUGCCGGGGUCAACUCGGAGGAAGGUGGGGACGACGUCAAAUCAUCAUGCCCCUUAUGUCUUGGGCUUCACGCAUGCUACAAUGGCCGGUACAAAGGGUUGCGAUACUGUGAGGUGGAGCUAAUCCCAAAAAGCCGGUCUCAGUUCGGAUUGGGGUCUGCAACUCGACCCCAUGAAGUCGGAGUCGCUAGUAAUCGCAGAUCAGCAACGCUGCGGUGAAUACGUUCCCGGGCCUUGUACACACCGCCCGUCAAGUCAC